AGUCAAGUAAUUAAGUGCAUGUGGUGGAUGCCUUGGCAGUCAGAGGCGAUGAAAGACGUGAUAGCCUGCGAAAAGCUCCGGGGAGGCGGCAAAUAUCCUUUGAUCCGGAGAUGUCUGAAUGGGGGAACCCACCUACUUUAAGGUAGGU
Molecule: ribosomal RNA, 148 nt
Filed under: Acinetobacter baumannii
Lineage: Bacteria; Pseudomonadati; Pseudomonadota; Gammaproteobacteria; Moraxellales; Moraxellaceae
Description: partial 23S ribosomal RNA
Rfam family: Bacterial large subunit ribosomal RNA
Source: RNAcentral